Molecule: long non-coding RNA, 396 nt
Filed under: Ananas comosus (pineapple)
Lineage: Eukaryota; Viridiplantae; Streptophyta; Magnoliopsida; Poales; Bromeliaceae
Description: long non-coding RNA (ACOM_LNC033219)
Source: RNAcentral
AGUGUGUGUGUAUAUAUAUAUAUAUAUAUAUAUAUAUAUAUAUAUAUAUAUAUACUAGCUAAUCCUUCAAGUGUUAAUAUGACACACCAUAAAAAAUCUUGCAUAUAAGAACAUUUUAAAUAAUAUACAACUAGCGUGAUAUUUUAAAACGUCGGCAAGAAUAACACCGACGCUUGUAAAAGUGUCGAGUAAAGAAUCGUUAAGUAAAUGUGUCGGAAUAAAUAUACUGAUGCUUUAAUAAAGUGUCGAAAAAUUUUUAUUAGUAUUUGAUUAAAAAUAUAUUUAUUGAUGAUACUUAAUCAUAAUGUCAAUACAUGACAAAUAUUGAAAAAGUUAGAAUAAAACUUCGUUUAAAGUAUAUUUUAUGCUUUCACUUUUGUUUUCAACAACAGCAUU